This is a long non-coding RNA of Peromyscus californicus insignis, 4358 nucleotides long. RefSeq lists it as uncharacterized. NCBI's taxonomy places the organism in Eukaryota, Metazoa, Chordata, Mammalia, Rodentia, Cricetidae. The record is from RefSeq and is a predicted model, not a curated record. The transcript has 5 exons.
AUAAAAGCAAAUAAAUAAGCAAAGUAAAAUAAAACACGAUGAACUUCAACAUAUUCAAAGAAAGCUUCAAGCAUGCAUAUAUUUAUGAACUCAUGUCCAUCUAGCUCAAAACAAGAAGCACAAUAGGGAAGCACACCAGAAAACAGUUUUCUGACUUCUCAAUGAAAAGAACAGAAUGGUCACAACCAUGUUCGCAAACAGUUGGUUUUGUGAAGCUUCAAAACAUGUUCCUUUGGAGGAGGCAUUUUGAAAAUGAAUUUUAAAAUUCUAGUCCACGUGGUGCUCCUUUACAGGAAAAUACAUAGCUUGCAAAAGCAAGGCGUAUGUAUUUCUUAGCCAUUUACCACCUCGGAUGUUGAGAACCUGUUUUCAAUGAAGGACACCAUUUCCUCUGGCAUACUCAAUAUAAAAUGCUCUUCUACAAAAUUAAUCUGAAGAUGUCUUGUGCAUUGUCGUUUGGACCACCGUUUCCUUCUCCAUUCCCCCACUUUUACGCUACGUGUACAAACAUUGCUCAGAGGGUAGAUGGCAUGAAAUAUCUGUAAACAACCAUGUGCUCCGUAUCAUUUUACUCUGAAAUAACUCUGCGAUUUCAGCUGAACCUGCCUACGCUUAUAAUGCACCGCAUACCCCACGAGGGAGCCUGAGAACAGACUCCCUUGAAAAGCAAGGUUCUCAUAGUUGGCCUGUAACCAUGGAAGCAGAUGCUGUUUUCUUCUUACCCUGCUUACCUCUUUGCAGCCUCGAGCUGCUCCCUAUUGUUAAAAGGGGGUACGCCUCGAUUCUUCUUCAUCAUGACCGAACUUGCCUCUUCUUCAAAGGGCAUGGUGCUGCAGGUCAUUGGUCUAGACUGUUUGCACGGUCCAGAGAGCAGCCUUGAUGUAACCCUGGCUCCGUCUGAGCCACACCACCAGCCGUGCCUCUGCAGACUGGAGGGGGACAUUGGAGAUCCGUAUUUGAAAAGAAGUCUGUCUGAUUUUGCCAUUGUGCCUUUUUACUCAUCGAUCGAAUGAAUAUCGAACCUUCUGUCGUUGCAUGUGUGAAAAUAGAUAGCUUAGCCAGCACUUUUGUGUCCAACCUGUGCUGUGGGCCAAAAGGUUUUUCAUUUGAGUCUCAAGAAUUUUUUUUUCCUUUCUUCAGACUUGAUGAAUUUUGUGCUCGCUUAAAUUAUUUGUAAGCCUUUAUCCAGCUGUUUUGGCGACUGCUUGCGAUACUUUACCAGCAGGGAUUUUGUUUUGGUGUCAAAACGGAACUUUUUUUUUUCCGUCAUCUGUUUGUUUUCUUUUGUAGCUGUCUUAAGGUCUUUUUGUAGCUUUGUAGGUAGAGGCGGUCUAACUUUUACUACACCCUAUAAAGCCGCACAUCUGAGUUACCCUUUUAAGGGGGCGAUUUGACGCUGUCUAUUACUUAACAGGCUCAAAUCCAGAAAGGUGGACUUGAGCCUCUCAAGGUGAUUUCAGUGAUUUAUAAGAGUAAGUAAACCGGAUAAUCACAUUGAUUUUUAAGUUGAACAGUAUUGUUUGAUAAACUGUAUUUGAAAGGAAUUUGUUUUCUUUGUUUUUUCCCCCUUUGAAAAUCAGUGAAAGUAUUAUUUGGAAGCACUGAAAUGUACUUAAAAGCAUAUAACUUCAUUGUGCUUAGGAGAGGCACAUAAAAUCACUAUGAUUUAGCAUACCGAAUAAAUAUAUUUAUAAUGUCUGUCUCAUGGCAUGAUUUAACUAGAAAGCACAAAAUAUGAAAAAAGUCUUUGCAUUUCAUUUUUUAACAUGACGGAAAUUUAUUACUGUUCAUCAACUGCUGAUGUUAAUGGCUGAUGAGACUAUGCAACCUGCUCAUUCUCAAAGGCGCUGUUUCACUGUGUCUUUAUGAAACUCCACAAGUUCAGGAUGUCUCUGAUGCAUCUCUCCAGCAUGGUGAUUAGGAAGCAUUGUCUGCAUGUGUCAUCAGGAGCAGUUUGGUUUGAUUUGAAGAAACCAGUAGUUCAUACUUAAAGGCAUACCUAUUUUCUCUAAUUGCCACAGGCAAACGGGAGGUCCACGGCAGGAUAAAGAAGGUUAUUGUGACGGCUGAAAUAUAAUUCUCAAUGAGUAGUCUUUUCAUCUAGCCUUAAGGAGCACAGGAUUACUUACAAGCUGAAUUUUGUGGCAGAAUGUAGGAGCUGAUUUAAAAAACAACAACUAUAAAACAAAAACAAAAACAAAACUCAAGAAACCAGGAAAAAAAGAAGGAGGUUUAUCUCUCUUUGGCUCUGGAGUGUUUAUUUUGUGUGUCUGUCUGGGGAUCGUAUUUUGUUUCUCCUAACAUAGAAGAGACACUGGCCAGGAGAGGGUCUGAGGAAACAGAAGGAAUAGGCAGGGAGGGUAGAAAGGAAGAAACAGUAACAGUGAAGAAAAUGAGUUAGAUGGAUUUCUAUAUUCUUUGGCACGCACAUGCAACUCAUAUUUUUUCAACACACGUUUUUGCUGCAAAAGAAUGGAAGCACCAGCUGCAAUGCCAAAGCUACAAUGUAACUUUGAGAAGACAGAGUGGCAGUGCCUUCUCAAGUCUCCCCAGGGAUAACUCACUUCUCUCAAGGAUCAGCACACAAUCACAAUGAUCUCACCUGAUCUACUUGACACAGGAAGCAGAGAGCUCAUACAAGACACAAGGUAAGUUGUAACACCCAAGGCCAGCCCUGAUAAUGAUCCUCUUCCUCUCCCUAUACUCUCUCCCUUAGGUUUCCUAGCAUCCCAAAAAAGGACCACAGCUAAAAAAGAAAAAAAUGUCAGAGCACAUGAGCUUACAGAGAACAUUUCAUAUUUAAAUACUGGUAGCUCAUUUAGUUCCCAAAGCCACCACCGUGACCAGAAAGCCCACGUGAAGAACAUGAACCCUGCUGCCAGACAAGCUGUUAUGAUAUGAAGAAACUUGUCAAGAAAACAAAACAAAACAAAAGUUACAAGUAUUAGAGAGUAGCUGUGGGGACAAAUGAUUAUUAAUGAGUAUAAAAUAAUCUUCCUUAAGAAGCAAUUUUAUAAAUGCAUUCUCAUGCCUAAAUACCAUCCUCCAAUGAAAUGUUUCAACUAAGAAAUCCCAGCAGCUCUCCCUAUGCUUCCAAUAUUUCUUGAGACUGCAGCAGAGACUGGUUCUGACGUAGCUGUGGUGACACUUCUGUCCAAACCCGAGAGUGUUGCAAUAAAUGCUAUAACACAGGGCAGCUGUGCUGUGCUUGUGUCCAAGGUUCCUGAGACUUCCAAUGCAUUAUUGAUAACCCCACCACUCUGAGAAAGCUGAGGCUGACAUCGUUUUUGCUGCUCUCAACCUUCUUCUGAAGAGUGCUGGCUGGGCCGGGAAUCGAUCACAGGAAGACGUUUACCAAAGAACAAAAUGGCUCAAGUAAAAAGCAGCAUUAAGAAUCCCCUACAUUCACUGACUGUGUUAACCAAAAUCACAUGCCCUACUUUGGUGUUUAUAUAUCUUUGACAGUUUACAUUGUGGUCAUGCUCCAGGCUACAGGGUGUAAUAAUUCAAUAAACACUUUACAUCUUGAGCUGGUUAUAAGUUAUAUGUGGGAAAAAUGUUUGCAUUCUAAAAGAAAAAUAAACUUACGGAUGUAGUUUUUCAAAAUACAUUAUUUUUCCUCAUUCUGGUACAUUUUCUCUGUAUUACUGUGAAAUUAAAGUGUAUCUAGGUAAUUUUCCUGUUUUCAUAUAGUGCUUUACAUUAACAUGCAGUCAUUCAUGGAAUAAUGUAUACCUACAGGGAUAAUAUGCAUUAUUUUAUAUUUCAUGUUAACUAACAGUAUAAACCACUGUGAAUGUUAAUAUCUGACUUCACUUAUGAAUCUUGAAAUUGAUGUCUUCAAUAUGAAAAUUAUAUAUUUCAUAUCCUACCACAAAUAGUUUACAGUGUGGUUUCUAAGGUAAAGUCUGUUGUAGAGCAUGAAUAUAUUCUGUGCUUAGAAUUGGGGUUAAAAAUCUUACUCUUCGUUUGCUAGGAAAACUAAGAGAAGAUUGUUUUCUUAGAUGAGAGAUGGCUAGGUAACUUGCAACACAAUCAUUAGUCCAUGUUACUUCUGUAUUCUAGUGCAAAUAAGCUUACAAUUCAAUUAUUAUUCAUCAAUAAAAAUAGUUAAUAACACAACUCAAAGGAUUAAAUACAGAAUUUAGUCUCAUCUGCAGGCACUGGCCACCUAAAGCAGAUGUUAGUGGUUGCUCAACCAACUGAGACAUGCAUUAAUAAAUGUGUUUUAUCUGCCUUUGACUUGCUGGGACCUGAAUUGGAUGUCACAUAAACUUGCUCAAAUUUUAAACUGAUAUUGUCAAAGAAGUAAAGCCCUAUGUAAUAUGUUUUAAAAUGUAGGUUUCUUUUUUUUUUUU